GUGCCAGCAGCCGCGGUAAUACGGAGGGUGCAAGCGUUAUCCGGACUCACUGGGUUUAAAGGGUGCGUAGGCGGGUUUUUAAGUCAGCGGUGAAAGCUCCGAGCUUAACUCGGAAAUUGCCGUUGAUACUAUUAAUCUUGAAUUUAGUUGAGGUGGGCGGAAUGUGUAGUGUAGCGGUGAAAUGCUUAGAUAUGACAUAGAACACCAAUUGCGAAGGCAGCUGGCUACACGAAUAUUGACACUGAUGCACGAAAGCGUGGGGAUCAAACAGGAUUAGAUACCCCAGUAGUCC
This 292-nucleotide ribosomal RNA is filed under the name uncultured bacterium. RNAcentral's name for it is "partial 16S ribosomal RNA". It matches the Rfam family "Bacterial small subunit ribosomal RNA", at positions 505 to 796 of the family's 1533-position model. The record is from RNAcentral.